UUUUUUUCGUUCAAUUUGCCACUCAUGGAAAAAAAAUCACAAAAUCAAUGAGCCUAGCCUAAUCAUCUUUUCUUUUAGGUAGGUUCAUAGGAGAACUAGAAUAUAUUGCUUCCGUCCAUUAUUGGAUCUGUCUAGAGAUUCUUGUCUCACUGAUCUUUUGUCUCCACUAGGUUAAGAUAAUCUCUGCUCCUAUCUUCUUUACUAACAAUCAAAUUUGAUUAUGUGCAUUCUAAUUUCUAAUAGCAUCAUACACAUAAGAUUACAAGCAUAUACUCUCC
RNAcentral lists this long non-coding RNA (278 nucleotides) under Setaria viridis. Its description in RNAcentral is "long non-coding RNA (SVIR_LNC001315)". The record is from RNAcentral. Lineage: Eukaryota; Viridiplantae; Streptophyta; Magnoliopsida; Poales; Poaceae.